Molecule: ribosomal RNA, 826 nt
Filed under: uncultured bacterium
Lineage: Bacteria
Description: bacterial SSU rRNA
Rfam family: Bacterial small subunit ribosomal RNA
Source: RNAcentral
UACACAUGCAAGUCGAACGGCAGCACGGGAGCAAUCCUGGUGGCGAGUGGCGAACGGGUGAGUAAUAUAUCGGAACGUGCCCAGUAAUGGGGGAUAGCCCGGCGAAAGCCGGAUUAAUACCGCAUACGACCUACGGGUGAAAGCGGGGGAUCGCAAGACCUCGCGUUAUUGGAGCGGCCGAUAUCAGAUUAGCUUGUUGGCGGGGUAAAAGCCCACCAAGGCGACGAUCUGUAGCUGGUCUGAGAGGACGACCAGCCACACUGGGACUGAGACACGGCCCAGACUCCUACGGGAGGCAGCAGUGGGGAAUUUUGGACAAUGGGCGCAAGCCUGAUCCAGCCAUGCCGCGUGUGGGAAGAAGGCCUUCGGGUUGUAAACCACUUUUGUCAGGGAAGAAACGGCCUUUACUAAUAUUAGGGGCUAAUGACGGUACCUGAAGAAUAAGCACCGGCUAACUACGUGCCAGCAGCCGCGGUAAUACGUAGGGUGCAAGCGUUAAUCGGAAUUACUGGGCGUAAAGCGUGCGCAGGCGGCUUUGCAAGACAGAUGUGAAAUCCCCGGGCUCAACCUGGGAACUGCAUUUGUGACUGCAUGGCUAGAGUACGGUAGAGGGGGAUGGAAUUCCGCGUGUAGCAGUGAAAUGCGUAGAUAUGCGGAGGAACACCGAUGGCGAAGGCAAUCCCCUGGACCUGUACUGACGCUCAUGCACGAAAGCGUGGGGGAGCAAACAGGAUUAGAUACCCUGGUAGUCCACGCCCUAAACGAUGUCAACUGGUUGUUGGACGGCUUGCUGUUCAGUAACGAAGCUAACGCGUGAAGUUGACCG